This 650-nucleotide ribosomal RNA is filed under the name Collimonas sp. AD101. RNAcentral describes it as "bacterial SSU rRNA". It matches the Rfam family "Bacterial small subunit ribosomal RNA", at positions 793 to 1447 of the family's 1533-position model. Lineage: Bacteria; Pseudomonadati; Pseudomonadota; Betaproteobacteria; Burkholderiales; Oxalobacteraceae. The record is from RNAcentral.
GUCCACGCCCUAAACGAUGUCUACUAGUUGUCGGGUCUUAAUUGACUUGGUAACGCAGCUAACGCGUGAAGUAGACCGCCUGGGGAGUACGGUCGCAAGAUUAAAACUCAAAGGAAUUGACGGGGACCCGCACAAGCGGUGGAUGAUGUGGAUUAAUUCGAUGCAACGCGAAAAACCUUACCUACCCUUGACAUGUACAGAAUCCCGAAGAGAUUUGGGAGUGUUCGAAAGAAAACUGUAACACAGGUGCUGCAUGGCUGUCGUCAGCUCGUGUCGUGAGAUGUUGGGUUAAGUCCCGCAACGAGCGCAACCCUUGUCAUUAGUUGCUACGAAAGGGCACUCUAAUGAGACUGCCGGUGACAAACCGGAGGAAGGUGGGGAUGACGUCAAGUCCUCAUGGCCCUUAUGGGUAGGGCUUCACACGUCAUACAAUGGUACAUACAGAGGGCCGCCAACCCGCGAGGGGGAGCUAAUCCCAGAAAGUGUAUCGUAGUCCGGAUUGUAGUCUGCAACUCGACUACAUGAAGUUGGAAUCGCUAGUAAUCGCGGAUCAGCAUGUCGCGGUGAAUACGUUCCCGGGUCUUGUACACACCGCCCGUCACACCAUGGGAGCGGGUUUUACCAGAACGUAGGUAGCCUAACCGUAAGGA